CCUAGUAGGUCUGGGACAUGCCAGCAGUUCACUAGGCCUGGAUAGAAAGUUUGAGCAUGGGGAGAGGCCAGAGAAGGGGCUGGAGAAGGGAUGGGCCCAGGUCACAGGGAGCAAAGUCCACUGGCCCAAGAAGCCAGGGCUUCAUAGGGUCAGCAGUAGGGAGCCUGCCAGGGCUUUAAAGAGAGGAAAGACAUGAGCAGCUUAGCAUUUUAGAAAGUUCAUUCGACUGAAAAUGUGCAGAAAGCACAAACUAAAGCACAGACACAAAACAAGUUCAGAGGAUGUGGCUGUCACCCAGGACACACACCACCUCAUCCAGCCACAGUGGCCACAGUCCUCAGACUGGACAGCCCCUGUGUACCUGGGAUGCGGAGAGUGACCCAAGCCUCAAUCCUGGCCAGUGAGACUGCCCAUCGAGGUGGAAAUCAUCGUCUUAAUUACCAAGGCUCCCUGGCCACCGGAGGAGACACGCAACACACAGCCUGCCUAAUGCGCCAGCAGCCGAGUUGGGGAGGUCCCUGGGAAAAAGGCCUAUGCUCCCCCAGCCAUUCUCAGGGCCUAGAAUGUUCUUUAGCACGAGAGAAGUGAAGGCUCAGGGGUCCAGUGGGGAGGGCCGGGUACCAGCCCAGAAGUAGGUCUAGCCAGGGAGGUGGAGUCCCCAAGAAACACCCUCAGGAGCCUGCUGAGUCACAAUCAUCCCUCACAGCACGAAUGUCUCGCCUGCUCCCUGCACGCAGCUCACCUGGGACUCUCCUUCUGCCGGCAGGGUGAGGGGCCUUUGAAAGGCCUAAACCAGAAAGGCUGGAGGGGCUGAAGGCAGGAGCCAGCUGGCCCCAAUCCUGUUCUCUCUGGAGCCCCUCAGUCCUUAGCCCAGCCCCCAGGUGUGUCUUGUCUCCUUCUUAGAGGCUCCAACGGCCAGAGCUCCCCACUCCCAACCUACCAUCUUGUCCCAGAGAUGGAAGACAACAUGGGAGCGGCCCCUCACAGCCAGAGUACCUUCAAGACCAUGUGGCACCACCAGACUGAAACCCAGGUCCGGUGGGCUCUGCCAUCCCCAUGCCAAGCAGAGGGAAGGAGGGGGUGGGAGGACAGAAGAAGGAGUGGGCGGGGUGAGUCUGUGGUGGUUUGGA
This 1130-nucleotide long non-coding RNA is filed under the name Homo sapiens (human). RNAcentral describes it as "HSALNT0302047". Lineage: Eukaryota; Metazoa; Chordata; Mammalia; Primates; Hominidae. The record is from RNAcentral.